GUAUCAUAUUAAGUUUGAGACUUAUUCAUUAUAUAGCUGAGGUAUCAUUUUAGAUGACAUUGGCCUGGAAACAACGCUUGACAAGUUAAUGCAACUCUAUAUUCUUCUUAUAUGACGAUAUCUAAAGGUAAUAAAUCUGUUCACAACUAUAAAAUUUGAGCAACAAUUAUAUAUAUAUAUAUAUAUAUAUAUAUGUAUAUAAACAUAAAAUGGGUAACAUAGUUUAAUGAUGGAGUAUUGACUCUCUAAAUCCUCUUUCUACUUUGUGCUAAUUUAGUUUCUGUACAGUUUUCUUUCCUGAAGUUGGUGGAGUGACAUUUGCUUCUCAUUAUGCAUUCGUUGUCGUGUAUAGAAUGAAUAAAAGCGUUGACCUUGGUGGGUCAGAAGAAGAAAUUUAUCAAUUUCUAUUAUAACCCUCAAUUAAUGUGCAAGUCAGAAGGUAAGAGUUAUUAAAAGAAAUUAUUUGAUAAAGACUUUUCCAAUAGUAUGGUUGAAUUUAUGUUUUCAUGUAAUGGAAAUACAAGUACAUGAACUCUUACAAAUUUUUGUAAUCUUAUGAAAUCAAGACAAGUCAUUUAAUUAUAUUGGAUCUUGACAUUUUUUUUAAGUAGCCAU
Molecule: long non-coding RNA, 615 nt
Filed under: Panax ginseng (ginseng)
Lineage: Eukaryota; Viridiplantae; Streptophyta; Magnoliopsida; Apiales; Araliaceae
Description: long non-coding RNA (PGIN_LNC010016)
Source: RNAcentral